GUAUAUUGUAAUGAGAGAGAUGGCCGAUUGCAGCAGAGAAUGAGAGCAGAGUCAUGAAUGUUCGAGAGGGAGAGGGAGAAGAGCUCGGGAGGGAGAAGCCGAGAGAGAAAGCGAUCGGGAGAUCGCGAGAGAUCGAGAGAGAAGAAGUCGGACGAGGUCUGGCCAGGGACUCGAGCAGCAUCCAUGGAUGCAGCGGCCAUGGCUGGCCAGCCAUGGAGGUCGAGCAGCGCAACCAGCAAGCGGCGGUGGCUGGGGAAUGAGUUGAGGCGGCCGGUGGGUCUUGCGAAAAGCAGCAAUGGUGGCGGAGGCUACCUGGUGCGGCGGCGAACGUAGCUGGGUCGUGCUUGGAAGGCCUGGCUGAGACGUUGCAGCGAAGGCUGCUGUCGACAAUGCUGUUGCAGUGGCUGACGGCCGGUGGUGGCAGUCGCUCGAUAGUGGAAGCAACCAGAUCAGCAUGGGCGUUGGCAGCAGCGACAGACGACGGUGCCAAGCCUGGCAGCGGCUUGCGCAGGCAGCGCUCAACGAAGAAGAGAAGAAGGAGCAGGAGCUAGGCGCGGUGGAGAAGAAGACCAAGGAAGAAGGAAGGAAAAAGAAAAAAAAGAAAAAGGAAAAUGGAAAAUAAGGAAAAUAUGGAAAAUUCCAGAAAAAUUGGAGAAGUUUCUAGAAAUUAUUUUGGGACUCAUGGAACGUGCCGGAAGCUCAAAAUGGAGAUUUGGGCACAAGAGAGCAGUAUAAAAAGCAAGGCCGGUAUGGGCAUUUGGCUACGUUUUUCCCUAGAUGAGUCGAGGUUCGACCGGGAAGGUGGUGAUCCUAGAGGAGCUCGGAGUUCGGGCUAGAGUUCUCGUCGAGGCAGAGAUGAGGCUUCGAGCCAGAUGAUGCAAGUCCAGAUGCAAGCAGGGAUGGUGCCGGGAGGCUGUUAUGGCAAUUAGCUUGUUGCCUGAGAUGUGUUGUUGUGCAAUCUCCUGUAAUUUUUAUAUGUAUUCAUGUAAUUGAAUGUAAACGAUAUUGAACACUAGAUGUAUUUAAUUGUUGAAAUCAUCGUAGUGUGAUAAAUGAUUGUGAGAUUGUUCAUGGAAUAUGGCUUAGUUGGUAAAGCCAAGUUUCGGAUCGAGUAAAGAUCAGCGAGGUAUGUUCUCAUAAAUCCCCAAUACUCAGCGAAAUGUUUGUUAUGCUAGCUUUGUGCCUGGUCACCUCUGGCUUGCUAUGGGGCGAGUUGAAGAGAGGUGA
This is a long non-coding RNA of Diospyros lotus (date-plum), 1227 nucleotides long. RefSeq lists it as uncharacterized. Lineage: Eukaryota; Viridiplantae; Streptophyta; Magnoliopsida; Ericales; Ebenaceae. The record is from RefSeq and is a predicted model, not a curated record. The transcript is spliced from 3 exons.